This 497-nucleotide ribosomal RNA is filed under the name uncultured bacterium. RNAcentral describes it as "partial 16S ribosomal RNA". It matches the Rfam family "Bacterial small subunit ribosomal RNA", at positions 28 to 507 of the family's 1533-position model. The record is from RNAcentral.
GACGAACGCUGGCGGCGUGCCUAAUACAUGCCAGUAGAACGCUGAAGAGAGGAGCUUGCUCUUCUUGGAUGAGUUGCGAACGGGUGAGUAACGCGUAGGUAACCUGCCUUGUAGCGGGGGAUAACUAUUGGAAACGAUAGCUAAUACCGCAUAACAAUGGAUGACACAUGUCAUUUAUUUGAAAGGGGCAAUUGCUCCACUACAAGAUGGACCUGCGUUGUAUUAGCUAGUAGGUGAGGUAAUGGCUCACCUAGGCGACGAUACAUAGCCGUCCUGAGAGGGUGAUCGGCCACACUGGGACUGAGACACGGCCCAGACUCCUACGGGAGGCAGCAGUAGGGAAUCUUCGGCAAUGGGGGCAACCCUGACCGAGCAACGCCGCGUGAGUGAAGAAGGUUUUCGGAUCGUAAAGCUCUGUUGUAAGUCAAGAACGGGUGUGAGAGUGGAAAGUUCACACUGUGACGGUAGCUUACCAGAAAGGGACGGCUAACUACGUG